Molecule: non-coding RNA, 480 nt
Organism: Punica granatum (pomegranate)
Lineage: Eukaryota; Viridiplantae; Streptophyta; Magnoliopsida; Myrtales; Lythraceae
Source: RefSeq, a predicted model, not a curated record
AUCUGUCUAAGGAAAUAGGUACAAUCCCCAAAGAUUCUCUGCUCCUAUGCGGACCCUCUAACUUUGUUCUGUGUUGAGGAACGUGGACUCAUCGACCAACUGGGAUCGGUUCCAACACAUAGAGGGAGAUUGUGAAUGGUUUAGCGAUACGUAAAAUAUUGAAUCAUGGCAUCAAUCAAGGGAAGUCAAGUUGCAGAAGUUGGACAAUUGAGCCCAUUUCCGUGUUGACUAAACGGACGGUGGAAGAAGAUUAGAAUUCAACAUCCUAGCACUAAUGCCUUACCCCACUUUACUUACGGGUUUUUUCUUUUUUUUGGUAAAUAUCAUUUUUGCUUUUGGUAGUGAGUUUAAAUCCCAAAUGGGAGGUCAUAAAGCUUUGGUUCGAGACGUUGAGCUUUGGUUAAUCCAAAUUAGUUAAUAGUGACUGGAUGUGUAUUUUGAGAAAGUAAUAUAUAUGCGAACUGGCUGGCGAAUUAUGUA